Molecule: ribosomal RNA, 254 nt
Filed under: uncultured bacterium
Lineage: Bacteria
Description: partial 16S ribosomal RNA
Rfam family: Bacterial small subunit ribosomal RNA
Source: RNAcentral
CACGUAGGGGGCAAGCGUGGUCCGGAUUUAUUGGGCGUAAAGAGCUCGUAGGCGGUUCGGUAAGUCAGGUGUGAAACCUCCAGGCUCAACCUGGAGACGCCACCUGAUACUGCUGUGACUCGAGUCCGGUAGGGGAGCGUGGAAUUCCUGGUGUAGCGGUGAAAUGCGCAGAUAUCAGGAGGAACACCGGUGGCGAAGGCGGGUCUCUGGGCCGAUACUGACGCUGAGGAGCGAAAGCAUGGGUAGCGAACAGG